This 457-nucleotide ribosomal RNA is filed under the name uncultured Anoxybacillus sp. Its description in RNAcentral is "bacterial SSU rRNA". It matches the Rfam family "Bacterial small subunit ribosomal RNA", at positions 924 to 1382 of the family's 1533-position model. The record is from RNAcentral. Lineage: Bacteria; Bacillati; Bacillota; Bacilli; Caryophanales; Anoxybacillaceae.
CACAAGCGGUGGAGCAUGUGGUUUAAUCGAAGCAACGCGAAGAACCUUACCAGGUCUUGACAUCCCCUGACAACCGAGAGAUCGGGCGUUCCCCUUCGGGGGACAGGGUGACAGGUGGUGCAUGGUUGUCGUCAGCUCGUGUCGUGAGAUGUUGGGUUAAGUCCCGCAACGAGCGCAACCCUCGACCUUAGUUGCCAGCAUUCAGUUGGGCACUCUAAGGUGACUGCCGGCUAAAAGUCGGAGGAAGGUGGGGAUGACGUCAAAUCAUCAUGCCCCUUAUGACCUGGGCUACACACGUGCUACAAUGGGCGGUACAAAGGGUCGCGAACCCGCGAGGCGGAGCGAAUCCCAUAAAACCGGCCCCAGUUCGGAUCGAAGGCUGCAACUCGCCUUCGUGAAGUCGGAGUUGCUAGUAAUCGCGGAUCAGCAUGCCGCGGUGAAUACGUUCCCGGGCCUU